AGCGAACGCUGGCGGCAGGCCUAACACAUGCAAGUCGAACGAACCUUUCGGGGUUAGUGUCGGACGGGUGAGUAACCCAUUGGAACGUGCCUUUAGGUUCGGAAUAACUUAGGGACACUUGUGCUAAUACCGAAUGUGCCCUUCGGGGGAAAGAUUUAUCGCCUUUAGAGCGGCCCGCGUCUGAUUAGCUAGUUGGUUGAGGUAAUGGCUCACCAAGGCGACGAUCAGUAGCUGGUCUGAGAGGAUGAUCAGCCACAUUGGGACUGAGACACGGCCCAAACUCAUACGGGAGGCAGCAGUGGGGAAUCUUGCGCAAUGGGCGAAAGCCUGACGCAGCCAUGCCGCGUGAAUGAUGAAGGUCUUAGGAUUGUAAAAUUCUUUCACCGGGGACGAUAAUGACGGUACCCGGAGAAGAAGCCCCGGCUAACUUCGUG
This 434-nucleotide ribosomal RNA is filed under the name uncultured bacterium. RNAcentral's name for it is "partial 16S ribosomal RNA". It matches the Rfam family "Bacterial small subunit ribosomal RNA", at positions 29 to 507 of the family's 1533-position model. The record is from RNAcentral.